This 253-nucleotide ribosomal RNA is filed under the name uncultured bacterium. RNAcentral describes it as "partial 16S ribosomal RNA". It matches the Rfam family "Bacterial small subunit ribosomal RNA", at positions 524 to 776 of the family's 1533-position model. The record is from RNAcentral.
GACAGAGGGUGCAAACGUUGUUCGGAAUUACUGGGCGUAAAGCGCGUGUAGGCGGCUCGGUAAGUCGGGUGUGAAAGCCCUGGGCUCAACCUAGGAAGUGCACUCGAAACUUCCGAGCUGGAGUUCUGGAGAGGAAGGCGGAAUUCUCGGUGUAGAGGUGAAAUUCGUAGAUAUCGAGAGGAACACCGGUGGCGAAGGCGGCCAUCUGGACAGCAACUGACGCUGAGACGCGAAAGCGUGGGGAGCAAACAGG